This 45-nucleotide non-coding RNA is filed under the name Schistosoma margrebowiei. Lineage: Eukaryota; Metazoa; Platyhelminthes; Trematoda; Strigeidida; Schistosomatidae. The record is from RNAcentral.
AUCCUGAUGAAAAGUCUUAAAUAGGACAAAACGCUCGUCCUGGAU